ACACACACACACACACACACUAUUAUCUCUCUAUCCUCUCGCCAUUAUCUCUCUAUAUAGUCUCCAUCGUUUACAUUUCAAUUAAACCUUCCCCAAAUUGCUCUUCCUCCUUUAAGCUCCCCUCAAUUGCCACACUUGCUAUUUCAUGCUUAACCCUAUCUCCAUCUUCGAUUUGCUACCAAGAUUUGGAUUUGCCACCAAGAUUUGGAUUUGCCCUUUUUGCUUCCACUGCAACCACUUCACUCCUCACUAUGCCUCCAUCAAAGAUGACAACCUUCCUGCAGAGCUUUUCCCACAGUACACCACCAUCGAGUAUGAGACUCCUAGCUAGGGAGAAGUGUUCAUCUUUGUCGGUUUUAAUGUUGGUGGUCGACGCUUAUAUCAUGAAAGAGGAGAUGGCUUUCCUCAAGUCUGCCACCCUAGACCAUCGGCCUCUUCCCGGAAAAUUCCAUUGUUGACCUCAUUACUUUUGGGACCUUGGUCCAUGUUCAUGAGCUAGGCUUAUGAAUCUUGGUUUUGUGAUGAAUUUGGGAGCUUGGGUUCUUGCAGUGUCCAUCGGUAAAUAAAUCUGGGUAUUGUGAUCAAAUUUGGGUGCUUGGAUUCUUGCUUCUUUUUUUUUUAUAUGAAUCUUGGCACUGUAAAUGAAUUUGGGUUUGAUAAAUCUCAUGUUGUCAUCUGGUAUUGUGAUGAAUUUGGGUUUGAUUGAAUCUGGGUUAUCUCUCAUGCACUAAUUUGGGUAUUGUGAAUCUAAGUUUGAUUGAAAUUUUUUUGUUUGAUUGACAUACAGAAAUUAUAUUUUUAUUUGGGUAUUGUGUUGAAUGACGAUUUAUAUUGCAUUUUUUUUUUCUUU
Molecule: unclassified non-coding RNA, 850 nt
Filed under: Hevea brasiliensis (rubber tree)
Lineage: Eukaryota; Viridiplantae; Streptophyta; Magnoliopsida; Malpighiales; Euphorbiaceae
Source: RNAcentral